RNAcentral lists this transfer RNA (72 nucleotides) under Cavia porcellus (domestic guinea pig). It matches the Rfam family "tRNA". Rfam says of the family: Transfer RNA (tRNA) molecules are approximately 80 nucleotides in length. Their secondary structure includes four short double-helical elements and three loops (D, anti-codon, and T loops). Further hydrogen bonds mediate the characteristic L-shaped molecular structure. tRNAs have two regions of fundamental functional importance: the anti-codon, which is responsible for specific mRNA codon recognition, and the 3' end, to which the tRNAs corresponding amino acid is attached (by aminoacyl-tRNA synthetases). tRNAs cope with the degeneracy of the genetic code in two manners: having more than one tRNA (with a specific anti-codon) for a particular amino acid; and 'wobble' base-pairing, i.e. permitting non-standard base-pairing at the 3rd anti-codon position. Lineage: Eukaryota; Metazoa; Chordata; Mammalia; Rodentia; Caviidae. The record is from Rfam by way of RNAcentral.
AGGGAUAUAGCUCAGUGGCACAGCACCUGCCUGGCAGGUGUGAGGCCCUAAGUUCAAUUCUUAGUACCUCCC